UUAUACAGCCGUUUGAGAAAAUGACUAUCGGUGUAUUUUUCAUAGUCGCCAAAAGUAACCAUUUAGGUUUCCCUGUUGCAGAAUUGCAUUUAUUUUACUCAGCUCUGUGGAGCUGGAGGAGGUUGGGACUUCAUUACCAUGAUCUCUGUCUCCACCUCCAUCUUUGAGGAGCUGACAGGUAAUCUGCAUGAUUCCACUCACCUUUGUGACUGUCUUUAUGAAUGAAUCAGUCCAGGGGAUCAAGAAGUCGUCUGUGUUCAAAGACUCUGCAGCUGACUGAUCAACUGUGAGUCUGUUUUAAACUGAAUCUUUUUAUGGGUGCGGAGCUUUUGGAGGCUUUCCCAGUUACCGUCGGGUGAAGGUGGACAGGUCAACAGUCUGUUCCAGGACCACACACUGAUAAUCACAAUUAAAGGGCAAUUUAGGGCAUCCAAAUAACCUAUGAAGCAUGUUUUUGAAACCCUCACAUGAGAACAUGCAAAGUACUCACAGAAAUGACCCGACAUUUGAACCAGGGCCUUCUCACUAUGGCUGUGUCCAAAUUCAGCGGCUGUGUCCUCCUUGGCAGCAUAUGUCGGCUGCUGACGUCAUAGCGCCGCUACAAGUGCUGUCCAAAUUCAACAGCUACUUCAAAUGCAGCCAACGAAUGCGGCCUUCCUUUUCCCAAAUUCAAGGAUCGCUCUGGUGUAUCAUCCUUUGCUGCUCAUAUCCCAAGAUCCGAAGAUUUUUCUGACAACGGUGGACUUUGAUGCGGGACCCGGAAAUUUCACUUUUUAAUGUAAGUAAAAAUUGUAAACUGUUAAGUUUAUGGUUUUGAUGAUUAACUUAAAACAUUUUAACGUUAUUUUUAUCUGAAAUUAUACAAUAAAAGUGCUUAUAUAGCGGUCUCUGCUCGUAUGCUAGAUCCUGCAGAUGCUCUUCGCUCGUUCACUAUUUUUUUUCUUUCGUAAUAAAAACUGUAUUUUUUUAAAAUGUUACUUUAAAACAUUUUAUGUCCUUUUAAGGACCAAAGAACAGACGGAAGCUUUUAUAAAGCUCAGGGGUGAAAAUGAUCAUCUUUUCACUGGCCCAAAAUUUUCGGCUGCUCUGGCAUGGAGGACAAUUCUGGAGAAACUGGGGCUUACAGCCCAGGAAAAAGUGGGAUAAGGAGGGAGACUUUUGUCGAACUUUUCAGUCUGCCGGAAAAAAAAUGACAAUAAAUGAAUAACUUAGAUUUCUGAAAAUAGAUAAAUGACGUUUAUAUUUGAUAUAUUAACAAUUUUUGAUUUGUUAAUUUAAAUAAAAGUAUAAAUCCAAAACAGUAAUUGUCAUGAAUUCAUUGUAACACUUACGACUAGUUACAAAGAUGGUCGACAUGGAUGGGGUACUUCAGAUGAAACCCAUAGCUGGAACUUUGCUCGUGGUGAUUAGAAAAUCAUGCAGGAUGAUCUGCAGAGAUAUUCAGGAUGCUUCUUAACUGCAUCGUCCAUCAUCAAAGUUUGCAGGGCUGGCUGUCGACGGAUCCUGCAUGACCAAAAAUGAUCCAUAAAUACAUACAUAUGUAAUAAUACAUGCACAAUCGGAAAUCUUUUGUAAAAAGAAAAUGUUUUUAUUAGGAGGACUGCAAGGGAGUCCCUGUUCACUCUGAAGUCUGGUCUUGGAUCUUCACUGUUAAAAAAAAAAAAUGUUCCAGGAUUGGGAGACUCAGGUUGAGUCUACAUUACAGGGGUCUAGACUGGUUAAAAAAGAAAUACACAAGAAAUACAUUUUUAUUGAAAACAUGUGGUUUUACGUAUUUUGUUGCUAUACUACAACACAUCAUUAUACUUAGGUGAACACCUGAAUAACAAAAUACUUAAAUACCACUUGUAUUGAUUUCAAAUAAGAGUAGAGUAAAAUUGUUAAAAAAUUAAUUUCAGCAAUAAAAGAGGUCAGAAGAUAAAAUUAACAUUUAGCCCUAUUGUAGACUGAUUAAUAAAAUUAAACUAAUUAUUUCUUACAUGUUUUUUAUGCUCAGAAAAAAGGUAGUUACUUAUACUCAGUUGCAUUUACUGCAACAACUUGUGUGAAAUAAACAAAACUUUGAUACUCUUCAAACCCACAAAUUCAGUAAUUGUAUAUGUCAGACCUGUAAUGCAGUUGCUAAAUAAAUAUAUCCAUGAAACUAGCUAAAGAAAAUAUGUAAAGAGCUUGUAGAAGUCUUUUUUAAGCGUUUGUACACAGUACCUGCAUAUUUUUUUUCUCAGCCACUAAAAUAGCAAGUGCCCCCAACGGCGAUGCAUCCGCUCCAACUCCUCCAAAAUCAAAAGUUGAAUCAAAUAACUCAAACAUUUCGAGCUUCAUGCUUCAGAACAUGUUCAACUCACUGUGUCUAGGCUACAGGAAAUUAGCCAGCAAGGCCAGACCUACUUGCAUUUUGUGCAAUAAAGUAAUUAAAAAUAAAAAAAAAAAAUAAAAAAACAAGGCUAGACCAUGUGACAUAGUCACUGUGUUUGUAAAUUUUUUAUAUGGUAUCUUGAAUGUUAAGCAAAAAAAAAAAGAAAAAAAAAAAACAUAACAAGAGCCAUAAAUCUGAGCAUAAGAAUUACAGAAAUUAAAAUAUGGGUUUCUGUGAACAUUUGAAGUCUGCUGUAAAAUUGGUUGUGGUCUUUUUGAGUGUUUUUUUUGUAUGUAUUAUUUUUGUUUGCUGUGAGCCGUUUACCUGGAGGAAAGGUGGCCACGCCCCCUUCCAAGUUUAUUAAUUGGGCUGGUGUCGGGAUGACGCGAGGAGGAAGGAAACCGGAAAACGCCAGGAGGAGACGCGUCUUGGAGGCGAUCACAAAUCAAGGAACAAAACCUUCCUUCUCCGGGAAAGAUCUGCACCCCUGUUUGGUGGCAUUCCAGCUUUUGUCCAGUUCAAAGCCCGGAGACGUCAAACCGGAGGACGCCCAUCAGCUGGUUUCUCGACGCGCGCAUCUGGACGUAGCGAACAGUGCGAGGCCUGCGCUGGGUGAGAUCUGCACAUUUUCUUUUUCUUAGGGCGCCCUAAACUAUUUUUUUUCCUGGUAUACCAGAGAGACUAUUUUUUUCCCUUGUAUUUGCCCUUGUUCGGACGGAUUACGGGACACGGACACGUAGCGUUUCGGGUUUAUUUUUGGACUUUGAACUCUUAAGGUGGACCGGUUCUGUGGGAGGGGAAAACGUUUUGGUGUUUGAAAAAAAGGACGUUUGGUUCAUUCAUUAAAAAAAUUGUAUAUGUGAAGUUUGAGUAAGCUUUAAGUUAUUAAAAUAUAUAUAUAUUUAUUCAUCUGUGGGGACAUUGAACAUACCCUGAUUUUUUGUUUUUUUGUUAACUUACAUUAAAAUAACCUAAUGUUUGUUACAACCAUCCAAAUUCAAAGCCCUUAACAUCCGGUCUACCCACUUUACGAAGGACCUGGCCAUCGACUGAAUUUGGACACAGCCUGUGAGACAAAGGUGUUAACCACUACAACACUGUGUAAUUACUACUGACCAUCUUAAUUAGCUUUAAAAAAAAAAGAAAAAAAA
This is a long non-coding RNA of Oryzias melastigma (Indian medaka), 3507 nucleotides long. RefSeq lists it as uncharacterized. The transcript is spliced from 2 exons. The record is from RefSeq and is a predicted model, not a curated record. NCBI's taxonomy places the organism in Eukaryota, Metazoa, Chordata, Actinopteri, Beloniformes, Adrianichthyidae.